GACGAACGCUGGCGGCGUGCUUAACACAUGCAAGUCGAACGGAAAGGCCCUGCUUUUGUGGGGUGCUCGAGUGGCGAACGGGUGAGUAACACGUGAGUAACCUGCCCUUGACUUUGGGAUAACUUCAGGAAAAUGGGGCUAAUACCGGAUAGGAUCUCCUGCUGCAUGGGGGGGGUUGGAGAGUUUCGGCGGUAGUGGAUGGACUCGCGGGUUAUCGGCUUGUUGGUGGGGUAGUGGCGUACCAAGGCUGUGACGGGUAGCCGGCAUGAGAGCGUGACCGGGGACAAGGGGCCUGCGAGAGGCAGCAGUAGGCUACCGGAGGCAGUAGGGGGGAGUAUUGCGCAACGGGCCGACGCCUGAUACAGCAACGCCGCGUGCGGGAUGACCGGUUACGGGGUGUAAACCGCUUUCGCCUGUGACGAAGCGGGAGUGACGGUAACUGGUCAAGAAGCACCGGCUAACUACGUG
Molecule: ribosomal RNA, 468 nt
Filed under: uncultured bacterium
Lineage: Bacteria
Description: partial 16S ribosomal RNA
Rfam family: Bacterial small subunit ribosomal RNA
Source: RNAcentral